AGUGAACGCUGGCGGUAGGCCUAACACAUGCAAGUCGAACGGCAGCACAGUAAGAGCUUGCUCUUACGGGUGGCGAGUGGCGGACGGGUGAGGAAUACAUCGGAAUCUACUUUUUCGUGGGGGAUAACGUAGGGAAACUUACGCUAAUACCGCAUACGACCUACGGGUGAAAGCAGGGGAUCUUCGGACCUUGCGCGAUUGAAUGAGCCGAUGUCGGAUUAGCUAGUUGGCGGGGUAAAGGCCCACCAAGGCGACGAUCCGUAGCUGGUCUGAGAGGAUGAUCAGCCACACUGGAACUGAGACACGGUCCAGACUUCUACGGGAGGCAGCAGAGGGGAAUAUUGGACAAUGGGCGCAAGCCUGAUCCAGCCAUACCGCGUGGGUGAAGAAGGCCUUCGGGUUGUACAGCCCUUUUGUUGGGAAAGAAAAGCAGCAGGUUAAUACCCCGCUGUUCUGACGGUACCCAAAGAAUAAGCACCGGCUAACUUCGUG
Molecule: ribosomal RNA, 492 nt
Filed under: uncultured bacterium
Lineage: Bacteria
Description: partial 16S ribosomal RNA
Rfam family: Bacterial small subunit ribosomal RNA
Source: RNAcentral